This 513-nucleotide ribosomal RNA is filed under the name uncultured bacterium. Its description in RNAcentral is "partial 16S ribosomal RNA". It matches the Rfam family "Bacterial small subunit ribosomal RNA", at positions 29 to 523 of the family's 1533-position model. The record is from RNAcentral.
AACGAACGCUGGCGGCGUGCCUAACACAUGCAAGUCGAGCGCGAAAAGGGCAACCUGAGUAGAGCGGCGCACGGGUGCGUAACACGUGGGUAAUCUGCCUUAGAGUCGAGGAUAACCUUCCGAAAGGUUGGCUAAUACUCGGUAAGCUUACGGUGUCUUCGGACGCUGUGGGAAAAGUAGGCCUCUGUUUACAAGCUUACGCUCUGAGAUGAGCCCGCGGCCCAUCAGCUAGUUGGCGGUGUAACGGACCACCAAGGCAACGACGGGGAGCUGGGCUGGCAGGAAGAUCAGCCAGACUGGAACUGAGACACGGUCCAGACUCCUACGGGAGGCAGCAGUGGGGAAUUUUCCACAAUGGGCGAAAGCCUGAUGGAGCAACGCAGCGUGUGUGAUGAAGGUUUUCGGAUCGUAAAGCACUUUCGACCGGGACGAAAAACCUCUGGCUAACAUCCAGGGGCCUGACGGUACCGGGAGAAGAAGCACCGGCUAACUCUGUGCCAGCCGCCGCGGUAA